This 71-nucleotide transfer RNA is filed under the name Pentapodus setosus (butterfly whiptail). Its description in RNAcentral is "tRNA-Phe". It matches the Rfam family "tRNA". Rfam says of the family: Transfer RNA (tRNA) molecules are approximately 80 nucleotides in length. Their secondary structure includes four short double-helical elements and three loops (D, anti-codon, and T loops). Further hydrogen bonds mediate the characteristic L-shaped molecular structure. tRNAs have two regions of fundamental functional importance: the anti-codon, which is responsible for specific mRNA codon recognition, and the 3' end, to which the tRNAs corresponding amino acid is attached (by aminoacyl-tRNA synthetases). tRNAs cope with the degeneracy of the genetic code in two manners: having more than one tRNA (with a specific anti-codon) for a particular amino acid; and 'wobble' base-pairing, i.e. permitting non-standard base-pairing at the 3rd anti-codon position. The record is from RNAcentral. Lineage: Eukaryota; Metazoa; Chordata; Actinopteri; Spariformes; Nemipteridae.
GCUAAUGUAGCUUAUCUCUUAAAGCGUAACACUGAAGAUGUUAGGAUGAGCCCUGGAAAGCUCCGUAAGCA